GACGAGGAGCUUGCUCCUCUGACGUUAGCGGCGGACGGGUGAGUAACACGUGGAUAACCUACCUAUAAGACUGGAUAACUUCGGGAAACCGGAGCUAAUACCGGAUAAUAUAUUGAACCGCAUGGUUCAGUAGUGAAAGACGGUUUUGCUGUCACUUAUAGAUGGAUCCGCGCCGCAUUAGCUAGUUGGUAAGGUAACGGCUUACCAAGGCAACGAUGCGUAGCCGACCUGAGAGGGUGAUCGGCCACACUGGAACUGAGACACGGUCCAGACUCCUACGGGAGGCAGCAGUAGGGAAUCUUCCGCAAUGGGCGAAAGCCUGACGGAGCAACGCCGCGUGAGUGAUGAAGGUCUUCGGAUCGUAAAACUCUGUUAUUAGGGAAGAACAAAUGUGUAAGUAACUAUGCACGUCUUGACGGUACCUAAUCAGAAAGCCACGGCUAACUACGUGCCAGCAGCCGCGGUAAUACGUAGGUGGCAAGCGUUAUCCGGAAUUAUUGGGCGUAAAGCGCGCGUAGGCGGUUUUUUAAGUCUGAUGUGAAAGCCCACGGCUCAACCGUGGAGGGUCAUUGGAAACUGGAAAACUUGAGUGCAGAAGAGGAGAGUGGAAUUCCAUGUGUAGCGGUGAAAUGCGCAGAGAUAUGGAGGAACACCAGUGGCGAA
Molecule: ribosomal RNA, 663 nt
Filed under: uncultured Staphylococcus sp.
Lineage: Bacteria; Bacillati; Bacillota; Bacilli; Caryophanales; Staphylococcaceae
Description: bacterial SSU rRNA
Rfam family: Bacterial small subunit ribosomal RNA
Source: RNAcentral